AGAGUUUGAUCCUGGCUCAAAGCGAACGCUGGCGGCGUGCCUAACACCUGCAAGUCGAACGUGAACGGGGGCAACCCCUAGUAAAGUGGCGUACGGGUGAGUAACGCGUAGGUAAUCUACCCCAGAAUCUGGAAUAACCUGCCGAAAGGCGGGCUAAUACUGGAUAGAGCGACGGAAUCCGUAAUUGGGUUUUUCGGGAAAGGGAGGCCGUAAGGUCCCUCGUUUUGGGAUGAGCCUGCGUCUCAUUAGCUAGUUGGUGGGGUAAUGGCCCACCAAGGCAUUGAUGGGUAGCUGGUCUGAGAGGAUGAUCAGCCACACUGGAACUGAAACACGGUCCAGACUCCUACGGGAGGCAGCAGUGGGGAAUCUUGCGCAAUGGACGAAAGUCUGACGCAGCCACGCCGCGUGAGUGAAGAAGGCCUUCGGGUUGUAAAGCUCUGUCGGGAGGGACGAAAAUUAUUAGGGUUAACAGCCCCUAGUAACUGACGGUACCUCCAAAGGAAGCACCGGCUAACUCCGUGCCAGCAGCCGCGGUAAUACGGAGGGUGCAUGCGUUGCUCGGAAAUUAUUGGGCGUAAAGGGUAAGUAGGUGGUCUCAUUUGUCUGGGGGUGAAAGCCUCGA
RNAcentral lists this ribosomal RNA (622 nucleotides) under uncultured delta proteobacterium. Its description in RNAcentral is "bacterial SSU rRNA". It matches the Rfam family "Bacterial small subunit ribosomal RNA", at positions 8 to 607 of the family's 1533-position model. Lineage: Bacteria; Deltaproteobacteria. The record is from RNAcentral.